AGCUUUCAGUGAAUUGACAGCAUCAUUUUUGGCAGCAUAAAAUACAGGAGUUUGCAAUUCAUCUUUUGUCUUAGCCUCAAUGUCAGCUGCACAAAGAAACAUUUCUUCAGAUAGGAAGAUUAUUAUGUCCAAGCCCAAACUUCAUACAGGACAGCAGGGGAUGGAGGGUUUGAACUCAUCAGGAUCAUAAAGUCAACAGUCCAAAGCACAUACCACAAAACCAGGCAACCAUUUGGAUUUUGAUAAUUUAUGUUGAACAAUGGAAAUAUAUAAAAAAAAAAUAUUUAAAGACUAGAUUAAAUUGAAAAAAAAAAUUAUACACAAUACACAUAUGGAAAUAUUAUAAAUUCGUAAUUAAAAUAUAGGACUUAACUUAUAUAAUUUUAAACAAAAAUCACCAACUAUUUGACUUUUGCAUCCUGCGGCAGCAAGCAUAAGAUUUCCACCUCAAAGCAUCUUUUUUAACUCUAUUAAAGAAAAUGAGAUCCUCUGCAUUUAAUUCUUUAUUAUCAGCAUCCAUUGUUCUGAAAAAGUAAAUAAGAAAGCUUUGAAAUUUAGUAGGAUCUAUAUAUAAAUUGUAAUAAUUAUUUUUGCUUAAUAUAAAAUAUUUCAACACUAAUGUCAGUAAUGAACAUUUGUACACCUGUAAAUCUUGGAGUUAAGAAUUAAACAUAAACUUUGAAUAUAAACAAAAUAUAGAUCUACUUACUUACUUGUAUAAAAGUUUACCUUUCUUUCCCUGGAGAUAUUGCCUGUGUUUUGUUAAGUGCUGAUGAAUGUUCUUCAUCUAAUGGCAUUAUUUUUCCUUUAUUGUACUUGAUUCUGACAUCCAUGUUUGUUUCUUUAAUUCAGUAAUAAAUGAUAGUCAACAAAACAAUAUAGAGUAGAGCCACGGCCAUAGCCUAAACACACAAGACAUAUAUGAAAUAUAUGAGUAUCUAUUGCAAAGUAAAAUAAGUUUAGAGGUCUAAAGACAAGGGCGUCGGUGCAAUGGUUAUAUAUUUAUAUUGAUAAAUAAUUGUGCCAUAUGUAGUUUAAUAAAUUUACCUCUAUGAAAAUGUCAAAAAUAACUGAUGUAAUUGAUAUUUAUGAUAGACUAUACAAAAUAUAUAUUAAUGUAAAGUUUGCUAAACAGUUUUCAGUCAUGAUCAUGAAUCAUCAUGUCUUGAUUAUAUUUUAUUAAUGAAUUUUAUUAAUACGUAACUUAGCAGUGACAAGAAAUACUUCAAAUAGUCCAGACUGGCAGACUAUCGUCGUCUAUCACCAGAAUAUCCGUAGACAUCCUCAUUUAAAUU
Long non-coding RNA from Biomphalaria glabrata, 1295 nucleotides. RefSeq lists it as uncharacterized. Lineage: Eukaryota; Metazoa; Mollusca; Gastropoda; Planorbidae. The transcript has 2 exons. The record is from RefSeq and is a predicted model, not a curated record.